AAUCCCCACCCUGCGGACCCCGCGCGCCUCGCCUUCUCCCUCUGGUUGGCGAGCGCCUUUCUGCGCCUUCAGGCAUUUUUGCUGAGGCUUUUGUCUGCGCAUGUGCGGGUGGCAUAAAAUGACACUCCAAGAGUCUUUCACCAAACAGGUAGUUGUUCAUUGUUUCAGCAACUAUCUUGGCAACAUCCUCAGACUCAAACUCCACAAAUGCAUAGCCUUUGCCAUUUCCAGUCAUUUUACUUCUGGACAGUCUGAACUGUGUCACAGUGCCAAACUGGGAGAAAUAUGAAAAGAUCUGGGUUUCGUUAAGUAGGGUUGUUCUUGUUUUUUUUGCUGGGUUAUGUGCUUGCAAACCUGCGCCACCUCCUUUUGAAACUGGACAUCUUCCUGCGGGUUAAGCAGUGAGAUCUCAGCCAGGCCAGAAAAAGCUGCCAUGCCAAAAGCGGCCGACACUAACUCCACGCGGUGCUCCUGGAAACGUCGGGCUCCCAGCUCCCAUGAGGCAGAAAACGGGCAUCUAUUCUUUUAACAUACGUAUGUAUACACAGUCCAAGUGAUG
Long non-coding RNA from Homo sapiens (human), 559 nucleotides. Ensembl annotates it as LIM2 and SIGLEC10 antisense RNA 1. Its record names the gene LIM2-AS1. NCBI's taxonomy places the organism in Eukaryota, Metazoa, Chordata, Mammalia, Primates, Hominidae. The record is from Ensembl.